GCUGUGACUCAGUCAAGAAACUGGCUGCUGUGUCACGUGUGCGUCAGUAGGUGGCAGAGAGGAGAGAGGCUAUAUCUACGCUCAGUGUUCUGGCCUAUGGACAUCUGAAUGAUUAGUAGCCUACCAUU
Molecule: small nucleolar RNA, 128 nt
Filed under: Meriones unguiculatus (Mongolian gerbil)
Lineage: Eukaryota; Metazoa; Chordata; Mammalia; Rodentia; Muridae
Description: Small nucleolar RNA SNORA17 (ENSMUGG00000012524.1)
Rfam family: Small nucleolar RNA SNORA17
About the family: snoRNA ACA 17 belongs to the H/ACA family of snoRNAs and is predicted to guide pseudouridylation of the 28S rRNA at positions U4659 and U4598. It shares the same host gene together with ACA43.
Source: RNAcentral